GCAUCUAUAACACUUUCAACAUAUUUAUAUUUUUCUCUUUAAUUUUUUCAAAUAUUUAAUUUUACAAUUUGAAAAUUUAAACUAUCUUAAGCUAUAGUGAAUUGAGUUAAAAGAGGAAUUAUGUCGCACAUUAAUACUUUUACUAUCGCUUCAAAAAGUUAUCUAGAAUAUUUCGCUAGAAGAACAAAGAACUCAGUCACAAAGAUUCGGGUCGACAAGGGAAAUAUUUUAUUAAAAAUAGGACAUUUUAAGCAAAGUAAACAGCAGGACUAAAAACUCUUGUCUUUCUGCUGCGAAAUUCGAUUUAUAUCAAUUUGGCAAGAGGGACACCAUAAACUCAACACAAAAAUUCAAGUUAUUAAAUCCCAGAAAAGUUUUGACAAUAAGUAAAAACAACAACCUACUUUAUUUGGCUUGAAGAGCAAGUUCAGUUUCGACUCUCGGCUCUCUUGUCAGCAGUUGUUCCCCUCUGAACAGCAGCAACAACAACAAAGAGAGCAGGCGAGACACCAACAAUGAAAGGUGCGACCUGACAGCGCCUAGACGAGAGGCUCGAGGGCGCCCCGACAAUAGGAAUACUGCUCUAGCUGCUUGGCUCCUAGCUGGCGGUGCAGCGCCUCCAGCAAAAAACACAGUAAGAGAGAGAGAGAGAGAGAAUGGCGCAAUGUGAAAAUCGAAGAAAAACAAUUAAAACGUGCAAAAAUAAAACAGAAAAAACAAAGCGCAGGCAAACAAAUCAUAAAAUACAAAUGAACCAAACAAAACGGAGGCACACGAAAAUGAAAAUGAGAAUAACUAAAGAGCCAGCACACAAAACUCAGCCAAAUGGGCAGUACUGAUAAAGACAAAAACAGAGACACAGUGACAAAGCAAAGAAAAAUAGAGUAUUAUUAUUAGAGUAUGGUUAGGUUUAUGUGGAUCAAAGGAACAGGAGUCUUCCUAAACAUGAACUUUUUUACAUUUUUACAAUGCAUUAAUAACUGUUCGUUUCCUUCAAAUAUCAUUAUAAAAAUUAAAAAAACUGAACUAACAUUUUUAA
Long non-coding RNA from Drosophila albomicans, 1039 nucleotides. RefSeq lists it as uncharacterized. Lineage: Eukaryota; Metazoa; Arthropoda; Insecta; Diptera; Drosophilidae. The transcript has 2 exons. The record is from RefSeq and is a predicted model, not a curated record.